AAAUUAAUGAUAUUCAAACAAAAAAUUUUCAUUCUAAUAUUUGGUCCUUUCGUACUAAAAUAUUAUAAAAAUAUAAAGAUAGAAACCAACCUGGCUUACGCCGGUUUGAACUCAGAUCAUGUAAGAAUUUAAUAGUCGAACAGACUAAUUUUUUAAAAUUCUGCCCCUAAAAAUAUUCUUAGUCCAACAUCGAGGUCGCAAUCUAUUUUUUCGAUAAGAACUCUCAAAAAUAAUUACGCUGUUAUCCCUAAGGUAACUUAAUUUUAUAAUCUCUAAUAAAGGAUCAAUAAAUUUAAAUUCAUAAAUUAAUGUUUUAAAUAAUUAAAAGUUAAAUAAAUUUUAAUAUCACCCCAAUAAAAUAUUUUUAAUUAAAAAAUCCCAAUUUAUCUAAAAAAAUUUAUUAAUCAAAAUAUAAAGAUCUAUAGGGUCUUCUCGUCUUUUAUAAUUAUUUUAGCUUUUUAACUAAAAAAUAAAAUUCUAUUUUUAUAAAUGAGACAGUUUAUAUUUCGUUCAACCAUUCAUACAAGCCUUCAAUUAAAAGACUAAUGAUUAUGCUACCUUUGCACAGUUAAAAUACUGCGGCCAUUUAAUACAAUUUCAGUGGGCAGGCCAUACUUUAAAUAAUAAACUAAAAGAAAUGUUUUUGAUAAACAGACGAAUAUAUAAAAUUGCCAAAUUCCUUAUUUAUAUCUUACAACAAAUUAUAAUAAUACAUUUACAUGAAUAUACUAAUUUCAUCAUUAUAACUUAAAUUUUAUUAUUAAAUUUAAAUUUUUAAUAAAAAAAAUAAAAUACAAAUAAAUUUUAAAUAUAUUAAUUAAAUUAUAACAUAAUUAUAAAUUAUAGCUAGUUCUAAGCUUAAAUUAAUUUUAUAUUUAAACAAUAAUUUUUAAUUAUAUAAUUUAGCUUAUCCCAAAUUAUAUUAUUAAUUUUAAUAAAAUAAAUUAUAAAUAAAUUCAUUUUUAUAAAAUUAACUGAAUUAAAUUCAUUUCUUAAAAAACUAGAUACCUUUAAAAACGAUUAACAUUUCAUUUCCAAUAAAUUAUUUUAAAUAAUAAUUCCACAUUAAAAUUAUUAACUUAUUAGAUCUUUUAAAAUCGAGAAAAUAUUAAAUUAAUAAUAUUUAUUUAAUAAACCCUGAUACAAAAGGUACUAAAAAUAAAUUAUUCUUAUAAAAUAAUAAAUUUUCAAAUUAUUUCAAUUUUCUUUCACAAUACUUUUAAACUAUUACAAAAAUUAUUUAUUCUUUAAAAAAUACUAAAAAAUUAAACUAUAAAAUUAUUCCUCAUAAAAUAAAACAAACUCAAAAAAAAUUAGUAAAAUUAUUUUAACAAAUCA
RNAcentral lists this ribosomal RNA (1338 nucleotides) under Geron pallipilosus. RNAcentral describes it as "16S ribosomal RNA". The record is from RNAcentral. Lineage: Eukaryota; Metazoa; Arthropoda; Insecta; Diptera; Bombyliidae.